This 382-nucleotide ribosomal RNA is filed under the name Neisseria sp. FL27-2. Its description in RNAcentral is "bacterial SSU rRNA". It matches the Rfam family "Bacterial small subunit ribosomal RNA", at positions 1149 to 1533 of the family's 1533-position model. The record is from RNAcentral. Lineage: Bacteria; Pseudomonadati; Pseudomonadota; Betaproteobacteria; Neisseriales; Neisseriaceae.
CUGCCGGUGACUUCCGGAGGAAGGUGGGGAUGACGUCAGUCCUCAUGGCCCUUAUGAGCAGGGCUUCCACGUCAUACAAUGGUCGGUACAGAGGGUCGCCAAGCCGCGAGGUGGAGCCAAUCUCAUAAAACCGAUCGUAGUCCGGAUCGCACUCUGCAACUCGAGUGCGUGAAGUCGGAAUCGCUAGUAAUCGCAGAUCAGCAUGCUGCGGUGAAUACGUUCCCGGGUCUUGUACACACCGCCCGUACCAUGGGAGUGGGGGAUACCAGAAGUGGCUAGGAUAACCUUCGGGAGUCCGGUUACCACGGUAUGCUUCAUGACUGGGGUGAAGUCGUAACAAGGUAGCCGUAGGGGAAACCUGCGGCUGGAUCCACCUCCUUUA